CCAGUCGGCCGGGCAGCCGCGCUCCGCAUGUGGUCGAAAGGCCGCGGGGUGAGGAAAGUCCGGGCUCCACGGAAACACGGUGCCGGAUAACGUCCGGCGAGGGCGACCUCAGGGAAAGUGCAACAGAAAGCAAACCGCCCCGCCUUCUCGACGGCCGCCGGACCCUUGGGUCCCUUGAUGGCCGCCGAGGUGGCGGGGUAAGGGUGAAAGGGUGGGGUAAGAGCCCACCGCGACGCUGGCAACAGGGUCGGCAUGGCAAACCCCACCGGGAGCAAGACCGAAUAGGGACGACACGGCAGGCGCAAGCCUGCCAGCCUGUUUCCGGGACCGUCGUCCGGGUGGGUUGCGCGAGGCGGCAGGCAACUGCCGUCCCAGAUGAAUGGCUGCCACGUUCCGCUCUUCGGGGCGGGGCCAUACAGAACCCGGCUUACAGGCCGACUGGCAUU
Molecule: RNase P RNA, 446 nt
Filed under: Rhizobium sp. RU20A
Lineage: Bacteria; Pseudomonadati; Pseudomonadota; Alphaproteobacteria; Hyphomicrobiales; Rhizobiaceae
Description: Bacterial RNase P class A
Rfam family: Bacterial RNase P class A
About the family: Ribonuclease P (RNase P) is a ubiquitous endoribonuclease, found in archaea, bacteria and eukarya as well as chloroplasts and mitochondria. Its best characterised activity is the generation of mature 5'-ends of tRNAs by cleaving the 5'-leader elements of precursor-tRNAs.
Source: Rfam by way of RNAcentral